RNAcentral lists this ribosomal RNA (774 nucleotides) under uncultured Neocallimastigales. RNAcentral describes it as "partial large subunit ribosomal RNA". It matches the Rfam family "Eukaryotic large subunit ribosomal RNA", at positions 24 to 643 of the family's 3401-position model. The record is from RNAcentral. Lineage: Eukaryota; Fungi; Neocallimastigomycota; Neocallimastigomycetes; Neocallimastigales.
UAUGUGAUCGUCUCUCGCAUAUCAAUAAGCGGAGGAAAAGAAACUAACAAGGAUUCCCCUAGUAACGGCGAGUGAAGCGGGAAGAGCUCAAAUUUGAAAUCUUAAAGGGUUUCCCUUUACGAAUUGUAGUUUAAAGAAGUGUUUUCUGUUGAGGUUUUGGUAAAAGUUCUUUGGAAUAGGACAUCAUAGAGGGUGAGAAUCCCGUAUUUGACCUUUACUUUCAACUUUGUGAUACACUUUCAAAGAGUCGGAUUGUUUGGGAAUGCAGUCCAAAAUGGGUAGGUAAAUUUCAUCUAAAGCUAAAUAUUGGCGAGAGACCGAUAGCGAACAAGUACCGUGAGGGAAAGAUGAAAAGAACUUUGAAAAGAGAGUUAAACAGUACGUGAAAUUGUCAAAAGGGAAGCGUUUGACACCAGUGUUGUUUUUCUGAAAAUCAAUUAAAGAACUGUUUAUGCUAAGCUGUUUAGACUUUAUCAGCUAUCUGUUUAGUUUUGAGCUUUUCUUUAAUGCACUUUUCAGUUAACAAGUCAACAUCAAUUUCUUUUGCUGUAAAAAAGCUUGAGGAGGUGGCUUGAGAUUCGUCUUAAGUGUUUAUAGCCUCUUGCCUAUGCAGUCGGAGAGAUUGAGGUCUGCAGCGUAGAUCCUUCGGGGCUAAAUGCAUUUGUGCUAAGUUAUAGCAUUUUAUAGACAACUUGUUGACUAUGAUUUGUCUUGUAGCUUACUCGCUUAUGUUAUUUUACCUACGCUUAGGAUGUUGAUAUCGCGCUCUCACUG